Molecule: long non-coding RNA, 823 nt
Filed under: Delphinapterus leucas (beluga whale)
Lineage: Eukaryota; Metazoa; Chordata; Mammalia; Artiodactyla; Monodontidae
Description: lncRNA (ENSDLEG00000008031.1)
Source: RNAcentral
AAUGGAUUGUCCCAAUCCCUGCUCGUGGGUUUUCCAAUGUCCCAAUUUUAUGCUUGUUGUUAGGACUUAUAAAAGCUUACUGGGUUUGUUUUGAAGACAAGGGAAAAAAUAACAUUACGCUAUUUUAAAUGCCUGCAACUAUUUCAAAUAUGACCCAAGGCAGUAAAAAUGCCAUAUUUCCCAAACCACAAACCCCACUCCUUGUUAAAAUCCAAUUGCCAUCUGAGUGUGGGAUGAAGAGUCAGGAUGCCAAACCCUGAGUAUCACACAUGUGAUCUUUCUUUGGGGGAAAUCCUGUGAAAUACGGCUGUGUCCACGACUUUCAUUUCUGCGUUUCACAGCCGAACUUCCUAAAACUGCUGAAAAACCAUACUCCAGAGGUACAGCUUCUAGACCCCCACUACAGCUUGACCUGAAGGAACAGGGCUUGGUGGAGAAUGAAAAGGGAAUGCAAAUCAGUUCUGAGAGCUCUCCUUUGAGAUAUCAGAGAUGGCAAAACACAGUGCACAGAAGUGGCUGAUGGAGCAUCUAUGGCACAGAGAAGGCACUCACUUUAUCUGGAGUCACACAGCAGGCCAGUCCUGGAGCCAGAAAACAGACAAGUCUGAUUUCCAAAGGCAACCAAGCCAUGGCAGAAACUCAAUGUGUUCUUCUCUGAAGGAUAAAACAAGUGAACUGUAGAAGAGCGUUCAGAAAAACCAAGGCUCUAGAUUUUGUGAACAAAACAUUCUUCUCUUCCCCUGGACUCCUUCCUGUGCCUUAUGCCCAAGAAAACCACACAACUUAAAUGCUUUGGCGUUGGGUGGCUUCCUCCUGCAUCUCA